Paramuricea clavata is the source of this 288-nucleotide non-coding RNA. The record is from the annotation of a GenBank genome assembly. NCBI's taxonomy places the organism in Eukaryota, Metazoa, Cnidaria, Anthozoa, Malacalcyonacea, Plexauridae.
GGCAGAAAUCCAGAACAACCAGAUCACACUAUACCAUCUACAGUAGCUCAAGGUUGUGUGGAAGGAGAUUUGUCUUGCAACGGAUAAUGAUCCGAACCACCCUUCUCACAUGUGUAAAAAUUAUUUAAGAAGAAAGCAUGAGAAAGGCGAUUUAGUUGUUACAAAAUUUUCUUCCUCAAUCUCGGGACAUAAAUCCCAUUGAGAAUUUAUGGGACCAUUUGAAACAAGAGAAAGUGAAACAUGAUACCACAAGUAAAGACAACCUACUGUAUAGCAUGUCCUUAAUCA